Canis lupus familiaris (dog) is the source of this 7342-nucleotide long non-coding RNA. RefSeq lists it as uncharacterized. Lineage: Eukaryota; Metazoa; Chordata; Mammalia; Carnivora; Canidae. The transcript is spliced from 2 exons. The record is from RefSeq and is a predicted model, not a curated record.
GUGGGCUACGGGGGCCCUGCUGCAGGGGCGCACCCCUCACCAGCUUGGCGGCAGGGGUCUUCCACACUGCAACAUGACUCAUGCCUCGUUUCCACAGCCCGGACAGAUGGGGACACUGAGGCACAGAGGUCUGGCCUGAUGAUCUAGUUCUCCUCCAGCUCAGAAAGGUGUCAGGAGUCUCGAUAAGUGACUCAGGCUGCCACCGCCAUCCGAACGCAUCUGCUUUCUGAAAGCCCCUGUAGGGGGUGAACAGCCUCCCCCAGAAUUCACAUCUAUCCAGAACCUCCAAAUGUGACCUUAUCUGGAAAUGGCAUCUUUGCAGAUGUGCUUCGUUCAGAUGAGGUCGCUGUGAAUGGGAGGGGCCCCAAUCCCAUGACUGAUGUCCUCAUAAGCUGGACAGAGAUGCACAGCGGAGGCCCUGUGAGGAUGGAGAUGGAGGGAUUGGGCCGAGAGGGGCCCUGGGGGUGUGGCUGGAAGCGGGGCAAGACACGCAUGCGUCUCGGGCCACGUGAGGGCCUGCCUUUCACAGGGGGAGACACACUUUGGGCACACUGAAGGUCCAUUGAACGAAGGUCCAAACAGAUGUCCCUUCUCCCUCGUGACCCCACAAGGUCCCAGGGUGGCCCACGGGGCUUCAGGCCUCGGGGCUGAGGAUGCCUCCAUGGUACCCAGGCACCUGCCCAACACCACACCUGCCCCUCCCGCCAGGGCCACUGGCCAGGGGGCCUCCAUGUUUCCCGAGAGGCGACCCGGGAGAGGUCACACUGGCCGUGGCGUCCAGAUGCUGUGACUGCCACCCGCUCCCUGUCUCUUACACCAACCACCCCGUGGUUCACCCUUUUACAGCUCGGGGCAGAGCUGGGCGGUCAUCACCACUGACUCUUGAACAUCUCCAGCUCCAAAACCCCGGCCCCAUCAGCAGUCACCCCCGCCCCCGGCAGCCACCAUCUGCCUCUGAUUCUGGCCCCGUCCUGUGAUCAGGGUCCCGUGACACCCCCGCAUCCACGUCUGAGGGUCACCACGCUGCGACGUGGCCAGGGCUUUCCGGGCCGCACACGCUCCCCAGCCUGCUGCGGGUUUGGGGACCAUCUCCCCCCGCAAUCAGGUAGUGCCCGACCCGUCCGCCCCCACCCUGCAUGGGGCCCAGGGAAGGACUUGGAAAAAAAGCUGGCAGCUCAGGGCCAGAACAAUUAUUUCCCAUUAACGCAAAAUCCUUCCUUCCCCAGGCGGCGAGCUGGCGCCGUGAGCCCUGUUUCUACGUUACUGAACCUGCUGGAGAGCAGUGGGUCAGUCAACUAAGGGACACGCUGACAGCCGUCACGAGGGAGGGCUGCGCUCGCUCUACAGAAAGCCCACUGGUGCUCCGAGCCAGGGCGGCCCUCAGGGACGCCUGUGUGUGCCGGGCCCCCCCCACCCAUCCCUCUGGUGCGCCGUCUGCUGGGCCCCCUGAGCCCAGCCCUGGGCCCCCCCUGGUCCGUGCGGCCCCACGCAGGGAGGGGACAGCGGGCUGCCCCGGGACUGGCAGCAGAGACAGGGACACCGGCAAUGGGGGUCCGCGUGGCUAAGGAGGGGCCUGAUGUCACUGAACAGGAGCACAUCCCGUGUGCCCACCAGGUGCCCCUGGUUGGAGGUCUUGCCCGCAUCCCACAUGCGGCUGCGUCCCCCGCCCCAGAGGGCAGUGGCGGGAACCCACGGGCCGCAGUGGGAAUAGCACGCUCUUCCACGGGGAGGCUCGGAGGCCUCUUGCCCGCACAGGCGCCAGCGCACCAAAUGAAGGGGCACCCCCGGCAAGGCACCCGGGGCGGCGGUUGGCAGCUCUGAGACCGCGUGUGACAAAGCUGUGCUCUAGCAGCCACCCAGGGGCACCACGGAUGUCCCUUCCCGUCCGGAAAAUAUAGCUUUUGUCUUUCUUAAGCCCAGGAGGCUUGCAGCCUCAGAGGACAUGUGUCAAAGUGAAGGGCCACGUUGUGUCCCCCAGUUGACACACUGGGACUCCUAACCCCGGUACCAGUUGGCAUGACCACUGAUGGAGUUAAGAUGUGGCUGUCAGGGUGGCCCCCAGGCAGCGGACACCAGGGCACAGACACGCCCAGGACAGAGGCCUCUGGAGGGUCCAGGCUCCCCACACGCCCCCUCGGACGUCCAGCCCCCAGGACCCGGGGUGAGCAGUUCUGGUUGGCUGCCCCCCCUGCCCCCUGCAGCACCUGGGGACGUGGCCCCAGCUGACACAGGGUGUGCUGCUUCCUCCACAAACGAGCCCCUUACUGGCACCAUCACUUCCUCCUCAGCCAGCUCUGGUCCCCGAGUCACCCUCGGGCCUUUGGUUCGAGCCAGUCCCACUGGCCUGGUGGCUCCGAGACGCUGAGGCCAAACCCAGUUCCAAGAGCGAAGGAAGAGAGCCCUUCCACCACCCCAGCAGGCCAGAGCCCGACCCGACCUCCGUACGGAGCAUGGGGAAGGCCCACUCGGAGCCAGCUGCUCCUGCAGACACGGCCGUGACAGCUCCCCCUUGUUAGGGCAGGACCCCCACCCCUGCUGGGGUGCAGCCCGCUCCCACCCCCUCUGAGCCAGUGCCCAGAGCACCCCCAGCCUGUCUCUCUGGACCCAAGCCUCCCCAAGCCCUGCAGCCCAGCACCCGUCAGUGGAGGCUCCAAGUACGAACGGGCGUUGUUCGUACAGAAGAGGAAACAAAGGCCCAGGGGACGCAGAGCCAGCUUCUGAGUCCAAUCUGCCCACAGCUGGCCUGCUCUGCACAUCUGCCCAUGAGGUGCUGUCCUGCAGCCCGGGUGUGCUCGGGGCCUCCUGAGCAGGACCACCUACCUGCCAGUGACCCACCCCGGCCUCCCACUGCCCCCACCUGCCCUCGCCUGCCCCUUCAGAUCCACGACGGUAAACAGAGGCUGCAGCUUUUGCAAACCCACAUGACUUCUCCCUGUGAGUCCACUCUCUGAUACAUUGUAAGGAGGUGGACCCUUUCUGGGCUGGGCUGGGCAGAAGCAGGGUCAGGGCUGGUGCAGGGGAGAAGAGGAGAGGGGAGGGAGAUGCUGGCAGGGAGAGCACGUGAGAGCAGCCACAGCACCACCCGGGAGCUGGCCAGAAAUGCAGGUUCUCAGGCCCCGUCAACCUCACGAUCACAGGAACCCAGAUCAGAAAAGGCCACCAGGCCACUGAGCCUCCAGCAUGCUGCCUGACACCAGGACUCCAUCCUCUGUCCUUCAGGGGUGCCAGGAAGGUGGGCUCUCCUUGGAAGGACACCAGAGCCUGGCCAGAGAGCCCUGGAUGUGCCCUUACAGGCCUGGGCUUGAGGCCUUCCAGAUCCUCGGGCUGAUCACCAGGCCCCGUGGGCCCCAGCCUCGCGGCCGUGGAACAGAGGCCGCACAGGCCAUGCUGCCGGCACGUGCCCAGCACACAGGACGCCCGGGGGACCCACAGCUGGGUUCCCCCUCUGGCCUGGCUGGCAGCACCGCCCAUCAGUGGAGAAGGUCCUGGUCCAUCCCCCAGACCCCGAUCUAAGGGGGCAAGCCCCUGGCAGGGCCCAUGGAGCUUGAGGCACAGGGCUGACCCCUACUCCAGGGGGCAGGCGGGGAGAGGGCAUCAGAGAGAGCUGCCUCAGUCAGAGCAGACCGGGAGGCCCUGGUGACCCUGGGGUGGAGGACGGCCCCGGAACAUCCCUGGUGGCAUAACCCCGAGGCUGCUUUAUUUCAGGAACCACAGGAGAGCUGUGCAGAGGGUGGCCCUGGAAACCACAUCAGCAGUGGGGCGGAGGCUGCUCCCACGCCCCUCCAGGGCAGACAGCACUGAGCAAUCCCGCAUUCUUUCCGGGGGGUCCUCCUCUCAGCCGCCCCAAGCAGCCGUGGUCAGCGGACAAGCUGAGAGCUGCGUGCCGCCCCUGGGUGUGCUGCCACAUUACCCCAGCCAAGUCUGAUGGUCCUAAAUGCACCGCGCACAGCGCACAUGCCCAUCAGAGGCCCCCACCCACCCACCUGUGCCCAACCCUCCCCAUCACGGGGACGCAUCAGCUGGAGGAGGAGCGACCUACAGUGAGGUCCUGGGGGGUCUGUGCAAGCUAGCCCCGCCCCCUGAGAGGGCAUGGGAGGAGCCAGUACCAGGGUGGGGGACCCCAAAGCGCAUCAGCAGAGGCAAACAAGACAAAACGCCUAUGGGGUUAUGUGGUCAAGGCCUUGUCAGCUGAGCUUCAUCAGCACCUGGGAUGGGGUCUGGGCAGGGGUGUGGCAGGGAGUGCGGCGGGAGCCCGGGGUGGGGGCCGUCCCUGGAGAUAAUCUGUCAGGUUAGCUCCAGAGCACACCUUCCUCUGGAGGCCCCUCCUUCCCCAGGGAGGGAGCUGCCUUCCCAAGGCCCACCGUCCCUCAGCCCUCUGCCAGGUGCUCUGUCCAGGGGGGCUGCUUGUGGGACAGUCCCACGGCCUGGGGGCUCAUUUCAGAGCCGGGUGCCUGGCCCAGAGCCCCUGGCGCACACCCCGUGGAAAACAUUGCCACUGGCUUUCUGCUGCUUGUCCUAGGCGCCAGCCGAGAAGCCUAGCAGACAGGCUGGAGGCUCUCAGGUGCAUCCUCAGCUCUGCGCUGCCUCUCCCGGCCUCCGUCAGCCUCCCAGAGUCGCGGGUCAGGGCCUCGACGCUCCAGCGCCAGCACCCUGCCAACAGCCGGUGCUCACAGAGUGCCCAGCACCCACCCUCAAGGUGCCCCAGUGGCACAUGAGGGCCGGACCCCAGCAUCUGCACAGGGUGUGGGUGAUGGGCAGCGCACUCAGCUUGUCCUGACAGGUGAGGAUGCCAACGCCAGAGACGGGAAGACCUCAGCUCUGAGUCACCCCACGGCCAGCCGUCCUGGAGUGCCACCACUGUCAGACCCCAUGCAGGUGCUGCGGACGCGGGAGAGAGCACGACCCAGCUCUUGCCCCUAGGAGGCUCAGAGAGCAAGACGGGCCUUCACCACCAUGCCGCACAUCCCCAGGCUAGCACCAGGUCAGCGAGGGCUUCCUGGAGGAGGCAGACUGGGACCUGGGAUCUGAAGGACCAGGAGGAGACCAGUAAAGAUCCUUCCCUACCCCCAUUCUUUUCCUGUUAAAAAAUCCUCAAAGAAAGAAAGAGAAAAAAAAAUCUAACGAAGGACAUGUUGCCCUGCGCACUGACGGGGUCAAGCAAGGCUGACUCACAAAGGCGACCAGACGCCGACGGGGUCACGGAGGUGCCGUCACAGAGGGACAGCCAGCCGCCAGCACUCCACGCCCGUCCAGAAACGGCCCUCGCCUGACACAGAGGCUGUGCCCAGAGGAUGGGGGCUGUGCCAAUGUCCUGGGGCGGCAGGAAUAGGCCGCCACACCCCUGGGGGCGGGAGCGACAGACCCGUGUUCUCUCUCGCCAGAAUCGCGGCCCGGGCCCCCUGCCUGGUCCCCAGCCCCGGUGCUGCCGUCAUCGUCUGCGCUCCUUGGCUUGCAGACGCUCACCCAGGGCCCUGCCUCUGCCUUCUCAGGACACUGGUCACUACACGUAGGGCUCACGUCAUCCAGGAUGACCUCAUCUCAACAUCCUCAGUCACAUCGCAGUUACCUCGCUCCAAAGAAAGGCACGGCCGGAGGGUCCGCUGCACGGGUCCCCUGAGGCCCGCCCUUCGAGACCCUCCGUCCCGGGCCAGAUGCUCCCAGGAAGCAGUCCUGCACCUGCCCCCCACCCCGCAGCGCCCGGCUCCCAGGAACACUCCAUCUGGGGCAGGUCGGGCCCCCGUGAGCCUCAGUCUACCCAACUGUGGAGCGGGUAUAGCGAGGGUCCCGCGGGAGGGCUCUCCGGAGCGCCAGGAGCUGGGCGUAGACCACACACAGCCACUUGUUAGCGGCUGCUUUGUGGGUUUCGUUGUUCAGCAGCGUUAUCGGGCUACAGUUCGUGUACCCUGACAGCCUCCGGUUCCGAGGGUGCAGGUCGGUGGCUUCUAGCGUACUUGGAGCUGUGCAGCCAUCACCAUAAGCUAAUUUUAUAACAUCGCCCUUACGAGAAAGCUCACGCCCGUCAGCGCUCUCACGGCUCCUGCCGCCCCCAGCUCCUGCACCUGCUCGUCUGCCUUGUGUUUUGGUUGCUGUGUCGAAAGAACCUCUCUCAGGCGGAAGCCGAGGACCCAAAGUCUGGGGCUGUGGUGCCACUGUGCGGGGUCCCCACCCGUUCUCCGGCCACACCCGGGCCGCCUCCCACCUGGCAUCAUGGAGCUCCUCUUGGAGCUCAGAGAAACUCUUUGCUACAAAAACAGACAAAACUCCAGAAAACCACCGUCUUAGAACAGCAAAGAAGACAGAAGGAGGCUCACACUCUCACCCCAGACACAGAAGCACCCCCCACCCCACCCACAGCACUGCUCAAUCACUGUAGCCCACCGGCCACCCCCACCACAGAGAAUGGGCCUGGUGUGCCCAUCGACCACGUGCUGGCACCAGGGACUCAAAGCACGAGGCAGGUCCUGCCCUGAGGAGGUGGCACGUCUGAUGGGGACGGCUGGGGUGCACAGAACCACAGCGCGGUGGGUACCACCAAUGCCCUGGGGCAGGGGGACAGGGCAUCCCUGAGCUGGAGGUAAUGAGGGGCUGGCCAGGCGGUGAGUUCCAGGAGGAAGGGACAGCGAGUGCAAAGGCCCAGGGGCAGGGGAACGAGCAAUGUGCAGCACAUCAGAAAACAAGGAGGUGAGGUGGGGGGGCAGCAGGAUCUGCCUUGUAGGGAGACAGUGGGUGAUGGAGAUCAUCCUAAAGACCGGCUACGACAGCUGGACACACACACAUUUCUAAAUAUACAAAAGCAAGAGGAGUCCUUUUAAAACCUUUUUUUUCAGGUGUAGAGAAUGAAUGUGAAUUUCCACUUCCACCUGUUUGCCCACCCAUCCAACGUCCCUCCCACAGGUAACUACUCUUAAUUCUGGCGGACUCUGGCCCGGCGCACCGUCUGCGGACUUAGAGGCAUUCACGUUUUAUUUUUGAAACCUAAACGGCGCCAUACGCUACAUAUUCUUUUCCCAUUAGUUGUGUUGCAUCUAAUGUGUCACGGACAGGUGUGCAUACGAGUUCACUGAGGUUUCCCUCAUCCCUUUCGGCGCCUGCAUGACAUCGCGCCGCUCGGCCCGACAGCAGCCCCCACGCGCGCACACUCAUCACAAACUUCGGACGCAGAUGUUCGCACACCGCGCCCUGCUCUGCCUCAUGCCAUUUUGUUGGUGGUUUUUUUUUCCAACCUAACGCUGUAUCUGGGAGAUUGUUCCACACCAGCAAUCACAGAGCUCUCUUCUCUUGUUCUUUUUAAUGGAUUUUUUUUCCCCCCGAAAUAAACUGUGCCUGCUCCUGCUGAUGAACA